RNAcentral lists this ribosomal RNA (468 nucleotides) under uncultured bacterium. RNAcentral's name for it is "partial 16S ribosomal RNA". It matches the Rfam family "Bacterial small subunit ribosomal RNA", at positions 28 to 507 of the family's 1533-position model. The record is from RNAcentral.
GACGAACGCUGGCGGCGUGCUUAACACAUGCAAGUCGAACGGAAAGGCCCUGCUUUUGUGGGGUGCUCGAGUGGCGAACGGGUGAGUAACACGUGAGUAACCUGCCCUUGACUUUGGGAUAACUUCAGGAAACUGGGGCUAAUACCGGAUAGGAGCUCCUGCUGCAUGGUGGGGGUUGGAAAGUUUCGGCGGUUGGGGAUGGACUCGCGGCUUAUCAGCUUGUUGGUGGGGUAGUGGCUUACCAAGGCUUUGACGGGUAGCCGGCUUGAGAGGGUGACCGGCCACAUUGGGACUGAGAUACGGCCCAGACUCCUACGGGGGGCAGCAGUGGGGAAUAUUGCACAAUGGGCGGAAGCCUGAUGCAGCAACGCCGCGUGCGGGAUGACGGCCUUCGGGUUGUAAACCGCUUUCGCCUGUGACGAAGCGUGAGUGACGGUAAUGGGUAAAGAAGCACCGGCUAACUACGUG